Long non-coding RNA from Cyprinus carpio (common carp), 1021 nucleotides. The record is from Ensembl. Lineage: Eukaryota; Metazoa; Chordata; Actinopteri; Cypriniformes; Cyprinidae.
GGAGGAUCAAAGCAUCGAGAGGUUCUCUAUCACAUCGCUAAAAUGUUCAUCUAAUCUCAAUAGUGCUGUGAGGGAUUCACUGUUGGUGUGGAGAGCUUAGCUGCUUCAGGGAGAGGGGCCUUCAGACAGAGAGAGCCAACAUGUGUACUCCAGAUGCCCAAAAGCAGAGCUGUCCUCAGCCCAGCCUGCUGUCCAGAGUCCAGCCACCUAUCUACCAGCUGGCCUUCAGUGCCGCUAAAGCCUCUGGUUUUAGGGUAUGUGACAUCAAGGAAUCGGCGCAAAGGCCUAAUCACGUUAACAUCCACAACCAGACGCUCCACUCAUUUGACUAAUCAAAGAGAACGGCUCGUUCAGAAAGAAGAGAGGCACUGUAUGAGUUGUACAUUAUACAGUUCAAAGAGGCGGGGGAACGCAGCCUUCAUGUGGCCACCUGGGUUCUUCUCAAGUCUGACCCACUCACAGAACACCCAUAAAGGUCUGGGUGAGUAAAAGAGUUUCUUAGGGACAAUUUUUCUUGUAAGUAUACAAGUCCGGUUGGAAAAGACAUACAGAGGGAGCUGUGAGGGGGGAAGUGAAAGAGUACACUUUGGGGGCUUCUCAGGCUCUGUCAUAAUCUUUAUUGCAUGAUGUGAUAGAAAAUGAAUGUUUCUGGAUCAUUGAGAUUGACAUGAGCUUACAGUUUAAGGGUGUAUGACUGCAUAACAUCCAGUUUUAUUUUUCUCUUUCAGUCUCAUUCACAUGCAUGUGGUUUAUGGUGACCUGGUUUUAUUUUGAUCAAGUCUAGAGGGAUGUUAAAGAGAGCGCUUGAAAGCCUUCCACUAAACCACAUGGUUGAAGAGGUUUUUAUCUCCACCUAGUGGUCUAAAGGGUUAAAUGUUACCGGUGAAUACUUUGCAGUGAACCUUCUCAGUGAUCUAUUACUGUAUGAAAGCAUUCGCUUGAAAGUGUUUUUAGAGGCACGUUUCAAAGCAAUAUUUACACCGAACCAACACUGAAAGCAACAGUCUUUUUUUAAAAGAAA